RNAcentral lists this ribosomal RNA (550 nucleotides) under uncultured bacterium. RNAcentral's name for it is "bacterial SSU rRNA". It matches the Rfam family "Bacterial small subunit ribosomal RNA", at positions 355 to 896 of the family's 1533-position model. The record is from RNAcentral.
UAGGGAAUCUUCGGCAAUGGACGGAAGUCUGACCGAGCAACGCCGCGUGAGUGAAGAAGGUUUUCGGAUCGUAAAGCUCUGUUGUAAGAGAAGAACGAGUGUGAGAGUGGAAAGUUCACACUGUGACGGUAUCUUACCAGAAAGGGACGGCUAACUACGUGCCAGCAGCCGCGGUAAUACGUAGGUCCCGAGCGUUGUCCGGAUUUAUUGGGCGUAAAGCGAGCGCAGGCGGUUAGAUAAGUCUGAAGUUAAAGGCUGUGGCUUAACCAUAGUACGCUUUGGAAACUGUUUAACUUGAGUGCAAGAGGGGAGAGUGGAAUUCCAUGUGUAGCGGUGAAAUGCGUAGAUAUAUGGAGGAACACCGGUGGCGAAAGCGGCUCUCUGGCUUGUAACUGACGCUGAGGCUCGAAAACGUGGGGAGCAAACAGGAUUAGAUACCCUGGUAGUCCACGCCGUAAACGAUGAGUGCUAGGUGUUAGACCCUUUCCGGGGUUUAGUGCCGCAGCUAACGCAUUAAGCACUCCGCCUGGGGAGUACGACCGCAAGGUUG